Molecule: ribosomal RNA, 922 nt
Filed under: uncultured bacterium
Lineage: Bacteria
Also listed under: 1 other name
Description: bacterial SSU rRNA
Rfam family: Bacterial small subunit ribosomal RNA
Source: RNAcentral
GGAUCCAGACUUUGAUUAUGGCUCAGGAUGAACGCUAGCUACAGGCUUAACACAUGCAAGUCGAGGGGCAGCAUGUUGGUUGCUUGCAAUCAACGAUGGCGACCGGCGCACGGGUGAGUAACGCGUAUCGAACCUGCCUCAUACUCGGGAAUAGCCUUGCGAAAGUAAGAUUAAUGCCCGAUGUUCUUCAUUUUUCACAUGAGAGAUGAAGCAAAGAUUAAUCGGUAUGAGAUGGCGAUGCGUCCCAUUAGUUUGUUGGCGGGGUAACGGCCCACCAAGACAUCGAUGGGUAGGGGUUCUGAGAGGAAGGUCCCCCACAUUGGAACUGAGACACGGUCCAAACUCCUACGGGAGGCAGCAGUGAGGAAUAUUGGUCAAUGGACGAAAGUCUGAACCAGCCAAGUAGCGUGCAGGAUGACGGCCCUCUGGGUUGUAAACUGCUUUUAGUUGGGAAUAAAGUGCACCACGUGUGGUGUUUUGUAUGUACCAUCAGAAAAAGGACCGGCUAAUUCCGUGCCAGCAGCCGCGGUAAUACGGAAGGUCCAGGCGUUAUCCGGAUUUAUUGGGUUUAAAGGGAGCGCAGGCGGACCUUUAAGUCAGCUGUGAGAUACGGCGGCUCAACCGUCGAACUGCAGUUGAUACUGGAGGUCUUGAGUGCACACAGGGAUACUGGAAUUCAUGGUGUAGCGGUGAAAUGCUCAGAUAUCAUGAAGAACUCCAAUCGCGAAGGCAGGUAUCCGGGGUGCAACUGACGCUGAGGCUCGAAAGUGCGGGUAUCAAACAGGAUUAGAUACCCUGGUAGUCCGCACAGUAAACGAUGAAUACUCGCGAUUUGCGAUACACAGUAAGUCGCCAAGCGAAAGCGUUAAGUAUUCCACCUGGGGAGUACGCCGGCAACGGUGCAACUCAAAUGAAUUGACGG